CCCUCGUCCGCUGGUUCGUCAUAAUAGUUGUUAUUCAGGAUGACUACUGMKGACGMWSGCGKCAUGCCUAACACAUGCAAGUCGAACGMGAAGGUGCUUUCSGGCACUGGACAGUGGCGCACGGGUGAGUAACGCGUGGGGACCUACCAUACAGCACGGAACAACGGUUGGAAACGACUGCUAAUACCGUAUACGCUCCCCCCAUAUUGAUUUAUGGGGGAGRAAAGAUUUAUCGCUGAAUGAUGGACCCGCGUUGGAUUAGAUAGUUGGUGAGGUAAUGGCUCACCAAGUCAGCGAUCCAUAGCUGGUUUGAGAAGAUGAUCAGCCACAUUGGGACUGAGACACGGCCCCAGACUCCUACGGGAGGCAGCAGUGGGGAAUAUUGCACAAUGGGCGCAAGCCUGAUGCAGCAAUGCCGCGUGAGUGAAGACGGCCUUAGGGUUGUAAAACUCUUUCGCCAGGGAAGAUAAUGACUGUACCUGGUAAAGAAGUCCCGGCUAACUCCGUGCCAGCAGCCGCGGUAAUACGGAGGGGACUAGCGUUGUUCGGAAUUACUGGGCGUAAAGAGUUCGUAGGCGGACUGACAAGUAAGAGGUGAAAUCCCGGGGCUCAACCCCGGAACUGCCUUUUAAACUGUCAGUCUAGAGACCGGAAGAGGUUAGGGGAAUACCUAGUGUAGAGGUGAAAUUCGUAGAUAUUAGGUGGAACACCAGUGGCGAAGGCGCCUGACUGGUCCGGUACUGACGCUGAGGAACGAAAGCGUGGGGAGCAAACAGGAUUAGAUACCCUGGUAGUCCACGCCGUAAACGAUGAGUGCUAGAUGUUGGGAUUUUCGGAUUUCAGUGUCGCAGCUAACGCAUUAAGCACUCCGCYKGGGGAGUACCGGCMGCAAGUGWKRAACCUCAAAUGGAAUUGACGU
Molecule: ribosomal RNA, 919 nt
Filed under: uncultured bacterium
Lineage: Bacteria
Description: bacterial SSU rRNA
Rfam family: Bacterial small subunit ribosomal RNA
Source: RNAcentral